RNAcentral lists this ribosomal RNA (396 nucleotides) under uncultured bacterium. RNAcentral's name for it is "partial 16S ribosomal RNA". It matches the Rfam family "Bacterial small subunit ribosomal RNA", at positions 523 to 918 of the family's 1533-position model. The record is from RNAcentral.
AUACGGAGGGUGCAAGCGUUAAUCGGAAUUACUGGGCGUAAAGCGCACGCAGGCGGUUUGUUAAGUCAGAUGUGAAAUCCCCGGGCUCAACCUGGGAACUGCAUCUGAUACUGGCAAGCUUGAGUCUCGUAGAGGGGGGUAGAAUUCCAGGUGUAGCGGUGAAAUGCGUAGAGAUCUGGAGGAAUACCGGUGGCGAAGGCGGCCCCCUGGACGAAGACUGACGCUCAGGUGCGAAAGCGUUGGGAGCAACCAGGAUUAGAUACCCUGGUAGUCCACUUCGUAAACUAUUUCGACUUGGAGGUUGUGCCCUUGAGGCGUGGCUUCCGGAGCUAACGCGUUAAGUCGACCGCCUGGGGAGUACGGCCGCAAGACGAAAACUCAAAUGAAUUGGCUGGG